UGAGGAAUAUUGGUCAAUGGGCGGGAGCCUGAACCAGCCAAGCCGCGUGAAGGAAGAAGGCGCUAAGCGUCGUAAACUUCUUUUGUCGGGGAACAAAGGUCCGGACGUGUCCGGAUGAGAGUGUACCCGAAGAAAAAGCAUCGGCUAACUCCGUGCCAGCAGCCGCGGUAAUACGGAGGAUGCGAGCGUUAUCCGGAUUUAUUGGGUUUAAAGGGUGCGUAGGCGGUCUGUUAAGUCAGCGGUAAAAGCCCGGGGCUCAACCCGGCGAGCCGUUGAACUGGCGGACUAGAGAGGGCGAGAAGUACGCGGAAUGCGCAGUGUAGCGGUGAAAUGCAUAGAUAUUGCGCAGAACUCCGAUUGCGAAGGCAGCGUACCGGCGCCUUUCUGACGCUGAGGCACGAAAGCGUGGGUAUCGAACAGGAUUAGAUACC
RNAcentral lists this ribosomal RNA (431 nucleotides) under uncultured bacterium. Its description in RNAcentral is "bacterial SSU rRNA". It matches the Rfam family "Bacterial small subunit ribosomal RNA", at positions 355 to 786 of the family's 1533-position model. The record is from RNAcentral.